CGGGACGUGGCGAAGUUUGGUAUCGCGCUUGCUUUGGGAGCAAGAUGCCGCUGGUUCAAAUCCAGUCGUCCCGACCA
This 77-nucleotide transfer RNA is filed under the name Oscillospiraceae bacterium. Its description in RNAcentral is "tRNA-Pro". It matches the Rfam family "tRNA". Rfam says of the family: Transfer RNA (tRNA) molecules are approximately 80 nucleotides in length. Their secondary structure includes four short double-helical elements and three loops (D, anti-codon, and T loops). Lineage: Bacteria; Bacillati; Bacillota; Clostridia; Eubacteriales; Oscillospiraceae. The record is from RNAcentral.